AUUACUCUGCGCUUAUUUUCUAGAAAGACUUUUCAAUACGUUUCACUAAUAAAAGGAUGAACUUAUGAAACAGAUAUUGCUGCAUCGCGACAUCUGAGAUUUCAAUAAUGGCAGUAUGUAUUAGAGAUAGCAAACGCAACUAUCGAAAUACAUUUUAUAAUUUUUCAAUUUUAUCCGUAGCUCUUGACAAUUGUGUGCUGCAAACGUGACCGAAAUAUUUUGUUCAUUACAAAAUGCAAUACUUUCGAACGGUCCCCGCAUAAUAUUACACGUGAAAAAUGAUUGAAUAGGAGUGCUUAUAAUAAAUUUGUUACAGAUCCAAUACUCUUAAAAUCCUUUCAAUCUGUCAGUAGCAUUAGUAAGAUGCUUAACGCUUAACGGACGAGCCACGUAAAUUUACGUUCUUUCCAUUAUGACUUUCCGAGAUGGAUUACAUGUUGAUUCACGUUUUCGUUUGAAUUUUUAUUAAAAAUGCCCGAAGACAGAGAAAAAGAAUAACCCGCCUGUUAAACGUUAAUGUUUGCAGAUUCAUGUAAAAUGAUGAAUAAAAAAAAAAGAAGGUCAUAUACAUAAAUAGUAUGUCCGAUAAUGUUACUCCUUGAACUCACUUGCAUUAGUAAAUAGACGUUGAUAUUACAUGCUUAACAUGUGUAUUAAACUAUUAAAUACUCUCUUCAGGCAACUUAAUAAAAUUUAUAUAAAAAAAGCAAAUAUAUAUAAUAUAUGUAGCACCACACGUGUGUGACUGUUACGUGUUGACGUUCGUCUUGCACAUUUACAACUAUACUUAAAACAUUCUCGGAUGACUAACAUAUUUAUACUUUCUACAUGUAUUUUCAGAAUAUGCGAAUAUAACCUCAGAGAGCUGAUGACCACUUAAAACGAGAAGAUAAUAAAAAGAUAUUUGUAAACAAAUUUGUUGCCAUAAUUUUAACGACCUUUUCCGUCUCUGAAGUAAUAUCCUUCACGAAGGUCCGCGUAAAUCCUUCCCAAAAAUAUCUCGGUAAAAUUCGGUAAAUAAAUUUUACCUCUGCUCGAUAAAUGUGUCAAAAUUUUUAGUCGACGCGCAUCGUACAGGUUGUUCGUCAAGUAUAAAUCGGUUAGUUCCUUAAAAUCGCAUACUGUGAAGAAAAAAACAAUAAGAGGAAGACUUUGUCUCACUUCCGUCCCGACGAAGUGCAAGAAAAAUCUUCUCCUUCGUUAGAUCAAUUGACGGUAACAUUCCGACGAAGAAAAGCAUUUUAGUCCGUGGACUCGAAGCGUUUCACUAUUAAACUAAUUUUUGUAAAUUGCAAGAACGCGUAAGCGUAGCCCCAGUGUGCGUUUGCAGGAUCCCUCGCAACAAUAUUCAGUCCAGAUAUUACAUAGGCAGCAUUAAACGUUUGGGAGAACAAUUUACAAGGCAAACGCACAAGGGGAGGGUAACUACCCACAAUAAAGUUGAGGUAUGUCGUUCGGCUCAUGUCAUAUUAAUGAAACAUUUAAUAGUCAUGUAAUUAACCGUUCAUUAACUGUUAAUAACGCUCGCGCAUUAACGUAUAUAUCUGUAUAAAAUAUGCACAUAUAUAUAUAUAUAUAUAAUAUAUAAUAUAUAAUAUUAAAUAUCAUUCGAUUAUUCGUAUAAUUAUAAGUAUCCUUUGAACGCGUCUCGCAAUCGCGUCACAGUGUGAUAGUCACAAUCAAUAUCAGAAGACCUUACAUACUGAGUUAUAUAUUUUCUCUCACUGGUGAAUCGAGAAAUAGUCACAUACAAAAUAAUGCGUUUCAUUUUAGAACAGGCUCUCUCGAUUUUCGCUUAAAGCAACGGAAUGUCUUUGCAACGUUCUCCCUUAUCGAUUUCGAUCUUAAAUUGUCGGGUAUUUAAUGAGUUUACGGCUUACAGCAAUGGCUCGUAGGCAUUCACCGGUAAUUGAACGUAUUCUUCCUCGUAUUUAUCGUUCGAUGUUAUUUACUACUAAGGCCUAUACACAUAGAAGAACUUCGAAUGUUUUACUGUGAACGCCGCUCAACGCAUCGACGCAUGAUUGUUUCUUCGCUAUUGCAAAGACAAUCCGUUUCUAUCUUACAUUAAUCCGUUGUAUCGAUUAUACCUUAGAAUGUCACAGUACUUACAUUGAAGGAAUUGGUUACUUACUUGCAAGAAAGGGUUACUUUCAAGGAAUGUUUUUAAGUGUGCUACGUUGAACACUACGUUUCGAGUAUAUGGGGAUAUGUUAAAAAAAUGGUGGGGAAGAAGACAGAAAGUGGGGAGAAGGAAUAUGAGAAACAAAAAAGUGAAUGAAGGUACCGAGAAAGAAGACACAGGAGCGCGCAGUUACGAUAUAAUAAAUCGACUUACAAACUACAGACUUGUAAUUAACAGAGAAGAGAAGGAGAUCCGGGAGAAUCUGAUUUACCGGACACAAAACAAAGGGAGACCCGGCAAGGAUGGUCAAACAUGAUACUCUCCAAACAUAUUGUGAAUAUUAUUAUCACGGACGUAGUAUAGAAUCUAGCAAUUUGUCCAAUCGGUAAAUCAGAUUUCCGAAGAGAUUACUCCCGAAGAUGGCGCAGCAGGGA
Megalopta genalis is the source of this 2559-nucleotide non-coding RNA. Lineage: Eukaryota; Metazoa; Arthropoda; Insecta; Hymenoptera; Halictidae. The record is from RefSeq and is a predicted model, not a curated record.